UACGGGGGGAGCAAGCGUUGUUCGGAAUUACUGGGCGUAAAGGGCGAGUAGGUGGCCAUCUAAGUCAGACGUGAAAUCCCCCGGCUUAACCUGGGAACUGCGUCUGAUACUGGACGGCUUGAGUAUGGGAGAGGAACGUAGAAUUCCAGGUGUAGCGGUGAAAUGCGUAGAUAUCUGGAGGAAUACCGGUGGCGAAGGCGGCGUUCUGGACCAUUACUGACACUGAGCCGCGAAAGCUAGGGGAGCAAACGGG
This 253-nucleotide ribosomal RNA is filed under the name uncultured bacterium. RNAcentral describes it as "partial 16S ribosomal RNA". It matches the Rfam family "Bacterial small subunit ribosomal RNA", at positions 524 to 776 of the family's 1533-position model. The record is from RNAcentral.